This 251-nucleotide ribosomal RNA is filed under the name uncultured prokaryote. RNAcentral describes it as "partial 16S rRNA". It matches the Rfam family "Bacterial small subunit ribosomal RNA", at positions 525 to 775 of the family's 1533-position model. The record is from RNAcentral.
ACGUAGGUGGCGAGCGUUGUCCGGAAUUACUGGGUGUAAAGGGCGUGCAGGCGGGAAUGUAAGUCAGAUGUGAAAACCCAUGGCUCAACUGUGGGACUGCAUCUGAAACUAUGUUUCUUGAGUGCUGGAGAGGAAAGCGGAAUUCCAAGUGUAGCGGUGAAAUGCGUAGAUAUUUGGAGGAACACCAGUGGCGAAGGCGGCUUUCUGGACAGUAACUGACGCUGAGGCGCGAAAGCGUGGGGAGCAAACAG